Salvia splendens (bonfire salvia) is the source of this 151-nucleotide small nucleolar RNA. RefSeq annotates it as small nucleolar RNA snoR145. The transcript has a single exon. NCBI's taxonomy places the organism in Eukaryota, Viridiplantae, Streptophyta, Magnoliopsida, Lamiales, Lamiaceae. The record is from RefSeq and is a predicted model, not a curated record.
AGGUGAAGGUUCCCAGCGGAGAGGAAGCUGUCUCGAACGACACCUCUCUAACACUAAAUCUAAACCUUCGCAUAUGGAUUUCGGCCAUCUUAAACGACGCUUCUCGAAAUUUUAAUUUUUGAUGCGUUUUGAACCCUUUGGCUAUAUUUUU